This is a long non-coding RNA of Quercus robur (English oak), 1118 nucleotides long. RefSeq lists it as uncharacterized. The transcript is spliced from 2 exons. The record is from RefSeq and is a predicted model, not a curated record. NCBI's taxonomy places the organism in Eukaryota, Viridiplantae, Streptophyta, Magnoliopsida, Fagales, Fagaceae.
UGUAACAAUCUAAACGUCAGCAUAAAAUGUAUCUAUUUAUGCCUCAUUAAUAAUUUACUUUUUAGUGGCCACCUCAAAAAGUUUUAUAGUUUAGCGAUCUAUUUAUUGAUUUUUACAAGUUUGUGCUUUCAAACGCUAUAUAAAGUACACAAAAUAUUCCACCCUCGAAAUAAAAGACCCAAAGCCCAGAAUCAAAGCAUAAAAAUGAGUUGUGUGUGAAUUCAAUUCAAUAGAUUCUUCAUUUGUGAAGUACACAGUGGAGCCAUAGAAUUUGGGGGGCGAACUCACUUUGCUCAAGUUUCAGUAGAAUGCGGAAUCUUGGGUACAAGGAUACCAAUCAAAAAAACCUGGGAAGGCUACCAUAGAAUGCCUCACAAAGAUUCAAGCUUUGACUCAUUUUUGGGGUUAUAAUAUGUAUUUAUUUCAAAGAGAGCCUUUAUGAGGUAUAGUCUGCUGCAGAAGAAGUGUAAUAAUAUGUUUUUUCUUUAUUCUAGUAUGAGUGAUAUAACGUUCGCUAUUCUAGUUUUUUAGCACUACUGUUUCUCAUUUUUUUUUUUUGGGUACUAUAGUAGUGUUAUUGUUGCUUCUCUCUAUAUUUGUUUUGAGUUCAAAUAUUGCUCUGCUGUGCUGUGCUCUCAUUUGCCUACACGGUGCAGUCAAUGCUCUUCAAGAUCUAUACAGGUCCCUGAACAACCCACCAGUGCUGAAGGGAUGGAGAGUCAUGAACAGGAGUGUCAUGUUCUUAUUCAUCUGUUAUACACCUGUAAUCCACUUAGCUAACCUAUUUUUUCUACUAACUAUGCCAUAUUGCCAUAAAAGCCCAAAACCUUACCCUUCUAUGGUCUCUACUAAUUUUAUGCAGUAAAAUUCAAGGACUAAACCUCACUGGGUGGAUUGGAGGCAAGCUUAAUAACCUGCAUCAUUUUAAGCACCUGUAAUUGAAACUGCCUUGUUAUAUUUAGCUCUUGUUGAAAUAGUACCUGUAGUGUUUAUUUAAUUCUUUAUUCUGGUUUCUUCUUUAGGGAUGUCAGCUUCAAUAACAUUCAGGGUGAAACUGUUUAGUGACAGGAAGGGCAACUGUUAUUUGUUUAUAUAGUAACAUUCUGGUUUCUUCUCUA